RNAcentral lists this ribosomal RNA (464 nucleotides) under uncultured bacterium. RNAcentral's name for it is "bacterial SSU rRNA". It matches the Rfam family "Bacterial small subunit ribosomal RNA", at positions 331 to 792 of the family's 1533-position model. The record is from RNAcentral.
CCAGACUCCUACGGGAGGCAGCAUUUAUGAAUAUUGGUCAAUUGGCGGAAGCCUUAACCAGCCAAUUCUCUUGAGGGAAUAAUUCCCUGCGGGUCUCCUACCUCUUUUGACUUUGAGCAAGUCCUCCUACGUGUCUUCUUCCGGAGAGUCCCCUUCGAACAAGCCUCUUCUAACUCCUUUCCCUCAGCCGCUUUCCUCCGGAGGAUUCUCUCGUUAUCCUGAUUUCUUGGGUUUAACGGGUGCGCAUGCGGAACGGCAAGAAGGGGGUAAAAUCGAGGGGAUCAACCCAGCCAAGCCGUCGGAAAUGCCGGGCUAGAGUGGGCGAGAAGUGCGCGGAAUGAGUGGUGUAGCGGUGAAAUGCGUAGAGAGAAAGCAGAACUAAGAUUGCGAAGGAAGAGAACCGGCGCACUACUGACGCUCAGGCACGAAAGCGUGGGGAUAGAACAGGAUUAGAUACCCUAGUG